Molecule: ribosomal RNA, 490 nt
Filed under: uncultured bacterium
Lineage: Bacteria
Description: partial 16S ribosomal RNA
Rfam family: Bacterial small subunit ribosomal RNA
Source: RNAcentral
AUUGAACGCUGGCGGCAGGCCUAACACAUGCGAGUCGAACGGUAACAGGAAACAUCUUGCUGUUUCGCUGACGAGUGGCGGACGGGUGAGUAAUGUCUGGGAAACUGCCUGAUGGAGGGGGAUAACUACUGGAAACGGUAGCUAAUACCGCAUAACGUCGCAAGACCAAAGAGGGGGACCUUCGGGCCUCUUGCCAUCGGAUGUGCCCAGAUGGGAUUAGCUAGUAGGUGGGGUAACGGCUCACCUAGGCGACGAUCCCUAGCUGGUCUGAGAGGAUGACCAGCCACACUGGAACUGAGACACGGUCCAGACUCCUACGGGAGGCAGCAGUGGGGAAUAUUGCACAAUGGGCGCAAGCCUGAUGCAGCCAUGCCGCGUGUAUGAAGAAGGCCUUCGGGUUGUAAAGUACUUUCAGCGGGGAUGAAGGGAGUAAAGUUAAUACCUUUGCUCAUUGACGUUACCCGCAGAAGAAGCACCGGCUAACUCCGUG